Molecule: ribosomal RNA, 253 nt
Filed under: uncultured bacterium
Lineage: Bacteria
Description: partial 16S ribosomal RNA
Rfam family: Bacterial small subunit ribosomal RNA
Source: RNAcentral
UACAGAGGUCUCAAGCGUUGUUCGGAAUCACUGGGCGUAAAGGGUGCGUAGGUGGCGUGGAAAGUCAGAUGUGAAAUCCGGGGGCUCAACCCCCGAAUUGCAUCCGAUACUCCCAUGCUAGAGAACUGGAGGGGAGUCUGGAAUUCUCGGUGUAGCAGUGAAAUGCGUAGAUAUCGAGAGGAACACUAGUGGCGAAGGCGAGACUCUGGACAGUUUCUGACACUGAUGCACGAAGGCCAGGGUAGCGAACGGG